Molecule: ribosomal RNA, 690 nt
Filed under: uncultured archaeon
Lineage: Archaea
Description: bacterial SSU rRNA
Rfam family: Archaeal small subunit ribosomal RNA
Source: RNAcentral
CGGAAGUUACUGCUAUCGAGGUUCGACUAAGCCAUGCGAGUCGAAUGUAGCAAUACAUGGCGUACUGCUCAGUAACACGUGGAUAACCUACCCUUGAGACGGGGAUAAACCCGGGAAACUGGGUAUAAUACCCGAUAGAUCUCGACUGCUGGAAUGCAUCGAGCUUGAAAGCUCCGGCGCUCAAGGAUGGGUCUGCGGCCUAUCAGGUAGUAGUGGGUGUAGCGUACCUACUAGCCUACGACGGGUACGGGUUGUGAGAGCAAGAGCCCGGAGAUGGAUUCUGAGACACGAAUCCAGGCCCUACGGGGUGCAGCAGGCGCGAAAACUUUACAAUGCUGGAAACAGCGAUAAGGGGGCCUCGAGUGCCAGGUUACAAAUCUGGCUGUCGUGAUGCCUAAAAAGCAUUGCAUAGCAAGGGCCGGGCAAGACCGGUGCCAGCCGCCGCGGUAACACCGGCGGCUCGAGUGGUAACCGUUAUUAUUGGGUCUAAAGGGUCUGUAGCCGGCCGGAUAAGUCUCUUGGGAAAUCUGGCAGCUUAACUGUCAGGCUUUCAGGAGAUACUGUCUGGCUCGAGGCCGGGAGAGGUGAGAGGUACUUCAGGGGUAGGGGUGAAAUCUUGUAAUCCUUGAAGGACACCAGUGGCGAAGGCGUCUCACCAGAACGGACCUGACGGCAAGGGACGAAAGCUAG